GCGACCAUCGUUCAAUGGUAGGACAGCAGAUUGUGGCUCUGCUAACGAGGGUUCAAUUCCCUCUGGUCGCCCCA
Molecule: transfer RNA, 74 nt
Filed under: bacterium
Lineage: Bacteria
Description: tRNA-His
Rfam family: tRNA
About the family: Transfer RNA (tRNA) molecules are approximately 80 nucleotides in length.
Source: RNAcentral